CAUUUUGUAGUUAAUAUCGUUUUAAUAUUUUAUGUAGAGGCAACAUUGUACAUGUGCUCAAGGACAAAGGGCUGAUGGGCUAAACUUUAAGUUGUUGAAAAUGUCUUAAUGGGCUUAAUUGAAGAGUUGUGGUGUUAAGGGCCUGCAUAUAUAACGAUAAUAACUAGUGAUUUUGAGAGGUCAUCAUUCAGAUAAAAUUAUCAUCUCCAAAAGUGUCUACAGUGUUUUCUAUGGUGGUCUAGGGUUUUAACUCGACCUCAACAUCAAGGCCGCACUACAUCAGAUGAUCAGCAUCAUGCUUCUCUAUGUCUUUUGAUCAGUCUUGUAUUUAUCUCUGUAUCCUUUGUUCAUAUUUCUGUUCAUGUGUCUCGUUGUUGAUCCAUUGUUGGAUCUGAUCCAGUGUUGGAUCUUGUAAUUUGGUGAUUUCAACUGAUAUUCUUUUCGGUUGAUCUUGUAUUUUGUAUUUGUGAUUUAGAUCUUACAUAAGUAAGAUCUAGGGUUUCGGUUGGGUGUUUUUGGUUUGGGUUAACUAAUAAAAGUUUUACGUCACCGUUUUGUCGCUUCUCUUGUGUUUCGUAUUGUUUCUUGUGUUGUGUGUUGAGAAAUCAUACCAUUUGACAUGGUAUCAGAGCUUGCUCUGAUCGAUUAUCAUCGAUUGAUAGAUUUUGGUUCUUCCGCUGGUUUGGUACGUUUCGCUACUUGGAAUUGUUUGUUUUGAAUCCCAGAGAUUUGGUCAUAUUUGGUUCAUCACACAUCUGGCAUGAUUGAUAUGUUGGUGUUAGGGUUUCGAUUAAAACCCUAGUUGUCUUUGUUCUUGACUGGCGAUCUUGGUGCAUUCAUAUUUGUAGAAGUUCUUACAUCAGGUAUAGGAUCUUGUUACAACGGAUUGGUAUUCUUACCUCUAUAAGCGCUCUGCACUUCUUAAUGUUUACAAGAUGAUCAAGAGUUAGUUUUCAGAAUGUGAUGAGCUUGAUAUGGAUAUGAGUGGUAUUUCGACGGACGAUGAGUGGUUCUCUACAUGUGGUUUGAAAAAGUGAACCGUAAAGGAAGCAGGCAUGGUCAGAAUCAAACCGAAAUGUUCAGGGAAGUCUCUACAUAUCUAGUUUUUUUUUGUUUAUGUAUGAAUGCAUUUCUUCUCAAUUUCAUAUUAUUCAUAUUCUUCAUAAGAUACAUAUUGACUCUGUCGUCUUUAAAGAUCUUGUUACAAGUAAAGUUGGAUUAUUUUAAUUUGAAUGGAAGUCACUUGUUUUUAUAGAAAAUUACCUUUGUUGAAAAGAGAUGCUAUGUCUUUGAUGUGUUUGCAGCAUGAAAUUGAGGGGGGAUGUUAAAAUCCAUGCUAAAAUGUGUCAAUUUAAUGUUGCAAACAUUUUGUAGUUAACAUCGUUUUAAUAUUUUAUGUAGAGGCAACAUUGUACAUGUGCUCAAGGACAAAGGGCUGAUGGGCUAAACUUUAAGUUGUUGAAAAUGUCUUAAUGGGCUUAAUUGAAGAGUUGUGGUGUUAAGGGCCUGCAUAUAUAACGAUAAUAACUAGUGAUUUUAACUCGACCUCAACAUCAAGGCCGUACUACAUCAGAUGAUCAGCAUCAUGCUUCUCUAUGUCUUUUGAUCAGUCUUGUAUUUAUCUCUGUAUCCUUUGUUCAUAUUUCUGUUCAUGUGUCUCGUUGUUGAUCCAUUGUUGGAUCUGAUCCAGUGUUGGAUCUUGUAAUUUGGUGAUUUCAACUGAUAUUCUUUUCGGUUGAUCUUGUAUUUUGUAUUUGUGAUUUAGAUCUUACAUAAGUAAGAUCUAGGGUUUCGGUUGGGUGUUUUUGGUUUGGGUUAACUAAUAAAAGUUUUACGUCACCGUUUUGUCGCU
Long non-coding RNA from Helianthus annuus (common sunflower), 1852 nucleotides. RefSeq lists it as uncharacterized. The transcript has 2 exons. The record is from RefSeq and is a predicted model, not a curated record. Lineage: Eukaryota; Viridiplantae; Streptophyta; Magnoliopsida; Asterales; Asteraceae.